This 520-nucleotide ribosomal RNA is filed under the name uncultured Glomus. Its description in RNAcentral is "SSU rRNA". It matches the Rfam family "Eukaryotic small subunit ribosomal RNA", at positions 569 to 1090 of the family's 1831-position model. The record is from RNAcentral. Lineage: Eukaryota; Fungi; Glomeromycota; Glomeromycetes; Glomerales; Glomeraceae.
AGCAGCCGCGGUAAUUCCAGCUCCAAUAGCGUAUAUUAAAGUUGUUGCAGUUAAAAAGCUCGUAGUUGAAUUUCGGGAUCAAAUUGUCGGUCGUGCCUCGGUACGUACUGGUAUUAUUGGUUCCUCCCUUCUGACGAACCACGAUGUCAUUAAUUUGGUGUCAUGGGAAAUCAGGACUGUUACUUUGAAAAAAUUAGAGUGUUUAAAGCAGGCUCGCGCUUGAAUACAUUAGCAUGGAAUAAUGAAAUAGGACGUUUGAUUCUAUUUUGUUGGUUUCUAGGAUCGACGUAAUGAUUAAUAGGGAUAGUUGGGGGCAUUAGUAUUCAAUUGUCAGAGGUGAAAUUCUUGGAUUUAUUGAAGACUAACUACUGCGAAAGCAUUUGCCAAGGAUGUUUUCAUUAAUCAAGAACGAAAGUUAGGGGAUCGAAGACGAUCAGAUACCGUCGUAGUCUUAACCAUAAACUAUGCCGACUAGGGAUCGGAUGAUGUUAAUUUUUUCAAUGACUCAUUUGGCGCCUUA